UGGGGAAUAUUGGACAAUGGGGGAAACCCUGAUCCAGCAAUGCCGCGUGAGUGAAGAAGGCCUUAGGGGUGUAAAGCUCUUUCGCCCGCGAAGAUAAUGACGGUAGCGGGAGAAGAAGCCCCGGCUGACUCCGUGCCAGCAGCCGCGGUAAUACGGAGGGGGCUAGCGUUGUUCGGAAUUACUGGGCGUAAAGCGUACGUAGGCGGAUGCGCAAGUUGGGGGUGAAAUCCCGGGGCUUAACCUCGGAAUUGCCCUCAAAACUGCACGUCUUGAGACCGAGAGAGGUAAGGGGAAUGCCUAGUGUAGAUGUGAAAUUCGUAGAUAUUAGGAAGAGCACCAGUGGCGAAGGCGCCUUACUGGCUCGGUACUGACGCUGAGGUACGAAAGCGUGGGGAGCAAACA
RNAcentral lists this ribosomal RNA (402 nucleotides) under uncultured bacterium. Its description in RNAcentral is "bacterial SSU rRNA". It matches the Rfam family "Bacterial small subunit ribosomal RNA", at positions 355 to 774 of the family's 1533-position model. The record is from RNAcentral.